UAUGUUUUAGUAUAAGAAGUACAUUAAUUUUUGAUAUUAAUAGGGACAGUUUAAUUCUGUUAAAUGUAA
RNAcentral lists this transfer RNA (69 nucleotides) under Orestia punctipennis. RNAcentral's name for it is "tRNA-Gln". Lineage: Eukaryota; Metazoa; Arthropoda; Insecta; Coleoptera; Chrysomelidae. The record is from RNAcentral.